RNAcentral lists this long non-coding RNA (229 nucleotides) under Serinus canaria (Common canary). Its description in RNAcentral is "lncRNA (ENSSCAG00000008017.1)". The record is from RNAcentral. Lineage: Eukaryota; Metazoa; Chordata; Aves; Passeriformes; Fringillidae.
AUGGUUUCAUUUCUGUGAAAUUUAAGCUCAGGUUUGCCCAUGUGGCAUUUCCACAGGAAUUGAUAAUGACAUCCUUAAUAAAAUCCAGAAGAAAAAUAUUUGUGUGCAUGAAGAGAAGGUGUACAGGGGCUCUUUGUCCAUGACCAUUUCUGUUGUGCAAUGACACAAGGUGGUUACAUCACCAAGUUUCACUCGAUGCUGAGAGAUGGGUGUCACUACGUCAGCUGCA